Molecule: ribosomal RNA, 491 nt
Filed under: uncultured bacterium
Lineage: Bacteria
Description: bacterial SSU rRNA
Rfam family: Bacterial small subunit ribosomal RNA
Source: RNAcentral
CAUGGCUCAGGAUGAACGCUAGCGGCAGGCUUAAUACAUGGCAAGUCGUGGGGCAGCAUGAGUAGCAAUACUUGAUGGCGACCGGCAAACGGGUGAGGAACACGUACACAACCUUCUUCAGCGGGGAAUAGCCCAGAGAAAUUUGGAUUAUACCCAUAAUAUAUUUGAUAAGGCAUCUUAUUAAUAUUAAAGCUUCGGCACUUGAUGAUGGGUGUGCGGCUGAUUAGAUAGUUGGCGGGGUAACGGCCCACCAAGUCUACGAUCAGUAGCUGAUGUGAGAGCAUGAUCAGCCACACGGGCACUGAGACACGGGCCCGACUCCUACGGGAGGCAGCAGUAAGGAAUAUUGGACAAUGGACGAAAGUCUGAUCCAGCCAUGCCGCGUGAAGGAUUAAGGUCCUCUGGAUUGUAAACUUCUUUUAUAUGGGACGAAAAAGGGCAUUCUUGUUCACUUGACGGUACCAUAUGAAUAAGCACCGGCUAACUCCGUG